RNAcentral lists this unclassified non-coding RNA (202 nucleotides) under uncultured cyanobacterium. Its description in RNAcentral is "partial 16S-23S ribosomal RNA intergenic spacer". Lineage: Bacteria; Bacillati; Cyanobacteriota. The record is from RNAcentral.
GAGUUCGAGUCUCCUAACCUCCACUGAUCGAACUCAAUCUCCAUCGUCUGAAAGAUGGAAGGUGAACUCGAGGAGAUGUGAUUUAGAUGUGUCCGCUGGCAUGACCCCAGCUUCCUGUCAUUCCGAAAUGACGUGAAUUAUCACGAUGUUUUGGUUGAUAAGAUGCUGGGCUCGAACUGAUUGAUCAGUUUGAUGUCUAGCA